CCUACGGGUGGCAGCAGUGGGGAAUAUUGCACAAUGGGGGAAACCCUGAUGCAGCGACGCCGCGUGAGUGCAGAAGCGCCUCGGCGCGUAAAGCUCUGUCAGCAGGAACGAUAAGGACGGUAUCUGAAGAAGAAGCCCCGGCUAACUACGUGCCAGCAGCCGCGGUAAUACGUAGGGGGCAAGCGUUAUCCGGAUUUACUGGGUGUAAAGGGAGCGUAGUCGGCGGGGCAAGUCUGGAGUGAAAGGCCUGGGCUCAACCCCGGUAUCGCUCUGGAAACUGGCCGGCUGGAGUGCGGGAGAGGUAGGCGGAAUUCCUAGUGUAGCGGUGAAAUGCGUAGAUAUCAGGAGGAACACCAG
This 357-nucleotide ribosomal RNA is filed under the name uncultured bacterium. RNAcentral's name for it is "partial 16S ribosomal RNA". It matches the Rfam family "Bacterial small subunit ribosomal RNA", at positions 338 to 712 of the family's 1533-position model. The record is from RNAcentral.